GGUAAAAAUGUUAACAAUAGACAAAGCUCACACUUAAAAUAUUAGAAGGAAGAUUGUCAGCAAAGACCAUCAUAGCAAGUAUUACAGUUUCAAGGUGGAUCUUACACCAUCGUGCUUACUCAUUCAAGAACGAAAAAUUCCUACAGCCUACGCAGCCCAUCAUCGAAUCCAAAAACCAAUGAACACCCACAAAGUAUCAUCGAACCGUUAUGCUUCAAAACUACAGAAACACUUAAGAGGAGGGUUCUAAGGACUCACUACCAGCACUCUUUUCUGGCUGAGAACGUCCCUUUACUGAGGCAAAUCAGAAACAUUGACUUUCUAUGAAGCAGAAACACUUAAGAGGAGGGUUCUAAGGACUCACUACCAGGACCAUUUUCUUCAAAGGAAUCAGAAACAUUGACUUUCUAUGAAGCAGGAACUCUGGGAGCAGGCACAUCAGCGACAGGAACUCUGGGAGCAGGCACAUCAGCAACAGGAACUCUGGGAGCAGGCACAUCAGUAACAGGAACUGGAACUGGAACUAUUGGAGCUGGCACAUCAGGAAUAGGAACUCUGGGAGCAGGCACAUCAGCAACAGGAACUCUGGGAGCAGGCACAUCAGCAACAGGAACUCUGGGAGCAGGCACAUCAGCAAGAGGAACUCUGGGAGCAGGCACAUCAGUAACAGGAACUGGAACUGUCGGAGCAGGCACAUCAGGAAUAGGAGUUGUGGCAGCUGGCACAUCAGGAACAGAAACUGUGGGAGCAGGCAGAACAACUGUGGGAGCUGGCACAUCAGGAAUAGGAACUGGAGCAGACAGAACAGGAACUGAGGGAGGAACAGUAACUGUGGGUGCAGGUGGAACAGGAGGCACUGGGAGAUCGAUGUCAGGAAACAGCUCAGUGUAUUUUGCCAGCCUCUGUUGACACAAGUCAAUGGACUCACCGUGUGCGACAUGCGCGAUACGGUACAACUGGACAGGAGUGAAUUUAAUCAUAACCAUUACCAGGACCACGCAAGGGUAAAAAUCCUUAAGCUGCAAGCAAAAACUAUAAAGUGCUCUGGCAAGCCAUAACAGCCAUCGUGGAAGCACUGCCAAGAUCCGAUCCCAAAAGAAAUGAAUCCAGAGCUUUUCACCAGCAAUUCUUUUCCUCUAUUUAUCAUGGGCAGUCUUGAGAUCAUAAACCGCUCUAGAAAUGUAUCUCAAGCGAGCAACAGCCAAAGAUAGAUGAUGCAGGUCAUGCCCAGCCGCCAAUCUCUCCCAUGCUUCAAUUCUGAGCUGAGUAUCUUUUGCUUCGGUCUUUUCUUGCGUAAUGUCAGCCAUAUCUUCAACUUGAUUUUCUGUGGAUGGAAUCUGCAUCAUAUGCUAACAAUUCAUGAGUACAAUAUUAACAACUGUAGCGAAUCCUACAGACCAACUAAGGUGGUCAAAGUAAUGCAUAUCAAAAUACCAAAGAUACGGCGCUACUUCAGCCGCAAAAUAGCGAGAAUCUCUUCAAAACAGGACAUCCAAAACAUCAAAGAUGAUAGUAUGCACCAAGUUUAACAGGAAAAAUUAUAGAACAGAUAUAACCUUCAAUAUAUCCAGUAAACAACAGUAAGAACCAGUAAACACAACAAAACGGUUAGCCACUUCCAACUAUGUCCAACAAUUUGAAGAAUUAUCAUCGUCAGAGGAAGCAAAUUACGUCAUCUUAACCAGAUUAAGUUAGCAAAACACACACUGGACCAAAACACUAAAUCCCUCCCUCUCUCCCCCUCUGUCUCACUCUCUCGACAUGACAGUAACAUAAAUCAAGCUACUUCAGCCACAAAAUUAGUGAAACGUACAGACCAUCAAACUAACACAAAUCCUACAGACAAUAAUACAAACACAAUAUACAGAAGCACGCACACACAAGUAACAUUGCCAGCAUCACUUUAAAACAGGACAUCCAAAACAUCAAAGAAGAUAGUAUGCAACAAGUUAAAUAUUGUAACUGAGAUAACCAUCAAUAUACCCAAUAAACAACUGUAAGAACCAGUAUACACAACAAAAUGGUUAUGCCACUUCAACUACUUCCAACCAUUUGAAGAUCUAUUAUCUUCAGGGCAAUCAAAUUCAUUUUCCUUCACCUUAACGAGAUUAAGUUAGCAAAACACACACUGGACGAAAACAUUUAAUCUCCAUGACAACAACCAAAGACUAGUCAUGCAACUAAGGUGGUCAAAGUGAAGCAUAUCAAAAUAACAGAGAUACUGCUACUUCAGCUGCUAAAUAGCGAAUCCUACAGACCAACUAAGGUGGUCAAAGUGAUGCGUAUCAAAAUACCAGAGAUACUGCUACUUCAGCAGCAAAAUAGCGAAUCCUACAGACCAUCAUACUAACUCAAUACACAGAAGCCAGGCACUCACACAAGUAACAUAGCGAGCAUCUCCUCAAAACAGGACAUCCAAAACAUCAAUGAUGAUAGCAUGCACCAAGUUUAACAGGAAAAAUUAUAGAACAGAUAUAACCUUCAAUAUAUCCAGUAAACAACAGUAAGAACCAGCAAACACAACAAAACGGUUAGCCAAUUCAACUAUUUCCAACAAUUAGAAGAAUUAUCAUCUUCAGAGGAAGCAAAUUACGUCAUCUUAACCAGAUUAAGUUAGCAAAACACACUGGACCAAAACACUUAAUCUCCAUAACACAAACCGAAGACUAGUUAUGCAACUAAUGUGGUCAAAGUGAUGCAUUUCAAGGCACUGAAUAGUAAAACUGAACUGAUUACUAAUCAAGCAUGUCAUAGUAAUCCCACCAAUUGAGAGUUCAGAGGGCAAAUAGAACAAACAGAACUGUGGUUACCUGCACAUCAACAGGCUCCAAUUCUCCAGGGCUUGAGAUCAUAUCUCCUUCUGCAGAUUUGGUUUCCAAUUCUGAUUGCAUUGCGGAAAGCUCCCUUGAAACAGCAUUUGUCAGCCUGAAAUUCGGUAGGUUUACUGCUAUCAGAAGAAGAACAGAGUAAUUUCGACAAA
RNAcentral lists this long non-coding RNA (2980 nucleotides) under Hordeum vulgare. RNAcentral describes it as "long non-coding RNA (HVUL_LNC000512)". Lineage: Eukaryota; Viridiplantae; Streptophyta; Magnoliopsida; Poales; Poaceae. The record is from RNAcentral.